UACGGGGGGGGCAAGCGUUGCUCGGAAUUACUGGGCGUAAAGGGCUCGUAGGCGGCCAACUAAGUCGGAUGUGAAAUCCCCAGGCUUAACCUGGGAACUGCAUCCGAUACUGGAUGGCUUGAAUCCGGGAGAGGGAUGCAGAAUUCCAGGUGUAGCGGUGAAAUGCGUAGAUAUCUGGAGGAAUACCGGUGGCGAAGGCGGCAUCCUGGACCGGCAUUGACGCUGAUGAGCGAAAGCUAGGGGAGCAAACGGG
RNAcentral lists this ribosomal RNA (253 nucleotides) under uncultured bacterium. RNAcentral's name for it is "partial 16S ribosomal RNA". It matches the Rfam family "Bacterial small subunit ribosomal RNA", at positions 524 to 776 of the family's 1533-position model. The record is from RNAcentral.